GUUGGUGUAUAUGACGAUGAGGGUCCACCCGUUCCCAUCCCGAACACGGUAGUUAAGCUCAUCGGUGACGACAAUACUUGGCUGGUGACGGCCUGGAAAGAUAGUUCUAUGCCAACA
Molecule: ribosomal RNA, 117 nt
Organism: Eubacteriaceae bacterium CHKCI005
Lineage: Bacteria; Bacillati; Bacillota; Clostridia; Eubacteriales; Eubacteriaceae
Source: Rfam